GGCGAAAUGCUGAAGGGCUCUCCUAUUCGGGGGAAUUCGGUAGUGAUGUAUAAGGUAUGAAAGAUGUAGCCUGCAGAGAGCCGGCACUAUCUCUACUGCUGCUGCUGCUGCCACCGCUGCCGCCGCCGCCGCCGCCACUACUGCUGCCAGCAGAGCUGUUGGGAGUGAGCCUCUCUUCUCCCAGAUAACCAGCUCCGUGGCAUCUCCCGCUCCUUGGCCCUACGCGGACCUCCCCGCCCCAGGGAACAAAAGCAGAGUCCAGCCGCCCUGUUCUGCAGCCAGAGGAUGAUGAGUCGAGUGGGCUGAGCGGAGAGUGUGGUCCUCAGCGGUUGGAAGGUAUAAAGAGAGGAGUAAAUGGGCAUCUAACAACAGCAGGACACCCUGCGGUGGCUCAUUGCACCCAUCCUACAGACCCUGGCUUAUCAGAGGACAACAUGCUUUUGAAAUGCCACAUUAUUUUGUAAGUACAUUUCACGUCCGAAAGUCCCACUAAGUGUGAAAUACCGAAGACUUAUUGCUUGCGAUUCCGUUCUUUGUUGCUCCCGGGCUCCAGCACAAGGAUGUUAAAAUGGCCAUUUCCAUCAUCAGUCUCCUGACUUCCCGCUCAUCUUCUCCAAAUCAGUCAUCCAUCUCCCUCCCCCUCUUCUCUCUGUUGCCUCCCAUUUCUUCACCCUUUUGUUCAUUUAAGUGGGUUUCUUCCGCUGUCCCUUCUUUCCUUCCUUCCUUCCUUCCUUCCUUCCUUCCUUCCUUCCUUCCUUCCUCCCUCCCUCCCUUCCUCCCUCCCUCCCUCUCUCUCUCCUUCUUUAAUAGGUUUUCUUCCCUCCUUUCCUAUCAUUUGUUUGUUUGUUUCUCUCUUCCUCUCCUCCAUCCAUAAGUGUCUUUUCAUAGGGCAUCAUAAAACUGUAAACCUCAGCACACUGACUUGGGGCCUCAUAUUUAUUUGUUAUAGAGACUGCCAUGAGCAUUGUAGAAUUUUAACAGUGCCCUGAAUCCAGGAACCAAUCCCUCCUCCUCCCUGUGCUGUUCACCAAACAUGUGCUCAAGGCAUCACCAAGUGUCUGCAGAGGGGUGGAGGAGCUGGAGCUGUAC
Molecule: long non-coding RNA, 1089 nt
Filed under: Cricetulus griseus (Chinese hamster)
Lineage: Eukaryota; Metazoa; Chordata; Mammalia; Rodentia; Cricetidae
Description: lncRNA (ENSCGRG00015036693.1)
Source: RNAcentral